AGACGUGGCCGAUGGGGGUCAAAGUGCAGUAUCUGUUCGUAUCGGCUUAAUAUCUAAUACGUGUUCUAUUUGGACCGAAGGUAUUGAACUUAUAUUUGCAAGUUGGCGGAGUGCUUGAAGCCUGCUCGACCUCCGCCUCGGGUCGGCCCGAUAUCGCACCGCCUCCGCGAUCGGCCCAUGGUUU
Dermacentor albipictus is the source of this 184-nucleotide small nuclear RNA. RefSeq annotates it as U2 spliceosomal RNA. The record is from RefSeq and is a predicted model, not a curated record. Lineage: Eukaryota; Metazoa; Arthropoda; Arachnida; Ixodida; Ixodidae.